CCAAAAAUCUAGCCCCAUCUUUUAAUACUUUUAAAUACGACUAAAAUAUUUUAGCAGUUUAGUAAAGAAGAUUAAAAAACUUUUAAGAGCUAUAAAUCAGUACCGCAAGGGAAACAUGAAAUAAAAAUGAAAUAAACCUCAAGCAUAAAAAAGUAGAGAUUUACCCUUGUACCUUUUGCAUCAUGGUUUAGCUAGUCUAAUUAGGCAAAAAGAUCUUAAGUCUAACCCCCCGAAACUAAGUGAGCUAAUUUAGGGCUGCUUAUUGAGCUAACCCAUCUAUGUAGCAAAAUAGUGGGAAGACCCUAAAAUAGAGGUGAUAAACCUAACGAACUUAGUAAUAGCUGGUUUCUCAAGAGAAGAAUUUUAGUUCAGCCUAAAGAAAUCCAUAACUUCAAAAUGUUUCAAACCUUUAGAGUAACUCAAACGAGGUACAGCCCGUUUGACACAGGAUACAACCUUAACUAAUGGGUAACAAUCAACAAUAACACUAAGUAGGCCUAAAAGCAGCCACCCUCUAAAAAGCGUCAAAGCUUAACUCAUUAAUACCAAUUCUUAAAUUUACACCAACCCCUUUAACUGUAUCGAGAAAUUCUAUAAACCUAUAGAACUUUUAAUGCUAAAACUAAUAACAAGAGAAAACCUCUCCUAAUGCCAGUAUAAGCCAGCAAGAACCCACCACUGGCAAUCAACAAAUAUUAAUAGUAACUCAACCCAGAAAACCCUAUUACACCACCUGUUAACCUUACACUAGAGCAUUUCAAGAAAGAUUUAAAGAAAAAGAAGGAACUCGGCAAAUUCUGAUCCCGCCUGUUUACCAAAAACAUCGCCUCUUGCCCCCCCCCCCUAAGAGGUCCAGCCUGCCCAGUGACUCUGUUCAACGGCCGCGGUAUUCUAACCGUGCAAAGGUAGCGUAAUCACUUGUUUUCUAAAUAAAGACUAGUAUGAAAGGCAUCACGAGGAUUAAACUGUCUCCUUUUUCUAAUCAGUGAACCUAACCUCCCCGUGAAGAGGCGGGAAUAAUGAUAUAAGACGAGAAGACCCUGUGGAGCUUAAAACAUUAAAACACUGCCCCAAAGCCCCUCACCCAACCCAUAGCACCUUGAUUUAAUGUUUUUGGUUGGGGUGACCGCGGAGAAAAACUCAUCCUCCGUAAUGAAAGAAAAUAUACCUUAGCAAUAAACUACAACUUUAUGCAUCAAAAAAUUGACAUCACCGACCCAAUAAGUUGAUCAAUGAACCAAGUUACCCCAGGGAUAACAGCACAAUCCACUUUAAAAGCUCCUAUCGACAAGUGGGCUUAUGACCUCGAUGUUGGAUCGGGAUAUCCUAGUGGUGCAGCCGCUACUAAAGGUUCGUUUGUUCAACGAUUAAAACCCCACGUGAUCUGAGUUCAGACCGGAGCAAUCCAGGUCAGUUUCUAUCUAUAAAGCACUACUUUCAGUACGAAAGGACCAAAGUAAUAUGGCCUAUACCUACGCAAGCCAUAACUAACUAUUUACGACAACUCUCAAAAGAUACUUAACCUUCUUUCUUCGCUUAAGAAAAAAACA
This 1550-nucleotide ribosomal RNA is filed under the name Pristimantis sp. SBH-2008. RNAcentral's name for it is "16S ribosomal RNA". It matches the Rfam family "Bacterial large subunit ribosomal RNA", at positions 378 to 2925 of the family's 2925-position model. The record is from RNAcentral. Lineage: Eukaryota; Metazoa; Chordata; Amphibia; Anura; Strabomantidae.